Arvicanthis niloticus (Nile rat) is the source of this 859-nucleotide non-coding RNA. The record is from RefSeq and is a predicted model, not a curated record. Lineage: Eukaryota; Metazoa; Chordata; Mammalia; Rodentia; Muridae.
GCAGAGCUAGCUCAUCUUGGGUCUCAGCUAGCUUCCAGACUGUUCCUGCCCUCCAGCUGGUGAAAACCAAAAAUAGACCCAGGAAACAGCAGAAUCGCUAUCAGAAAUGAAUGAGGAAAGACCAACAUAUGCAGAGCUGAAAUUAUCCUUGAAGAGUAGGAAGGACAAAAACCAGCCAACUCAGAAAAAGAGAGAAUAUCCAUGGCGUGUAAGUGUUGUGAUUCUGGGAUCAGUAUGUCUUUGUCUUCUGAUGUCAAGCUCAGUUUUGGGAUAUCUAUUUUUUCAGGACACUUCAAGGUUCAAAAUUCAAUGUGAGCAAGUUGCAAAUGAAAGUGCUGUCUCCUCAGUGGAAGUAGAGCCUUCAGGUUUGAUAAUGAUUGCUUUUAUUUUAAGGAAAACGCUGCUACAGAUGUCAAGGAAGAUGGUCUUGCUGUGGAGAAAAGUGUUACUACUUUUCAGAAGAAGAAAAGACAUGGGAUGAGAGUGAGGCAUCCUGCAAACUUCGGGGUUCUCAUCUCGCUAAGAUUGACAGCAGAGAGGAGCAGAACUUUAUUCAGUCAAGAUUGAAUUACAGCUAUUGGAUUGGAUUACGUAAAAACGGAGGUCGGUUCCAGUGGGUACACCAUAAGGAUGCAAACUUUUCUUCAGAUUUGGAUUUUCACAUGACUACACAUGUAAGAAAUGCAGAAUGUAGAUAUAUCAAGCCAAAAAACCUCAACAGUGCUCCAUGUUGUAGAUAUUUCCACUACAUUUGUAAAAAGAAUUUUACCUGCUUGGAAGCUUGAGAAAAUUGGUAAAAGCACAGUUUUACUAUUUUUAUUCCUUAGUGGCUAUUAAUAAAAUAAAAUUCCUCCAAGUC